Molecule: ribosomal RNA, 441 nt
Filed under: uncultured Bryobacterales bacterium
Lineage: Bacteria; Pseudomonadati; Acidobacteriota; Terriglobia; Bryobacterales
Description: bacterial SSU rRNA
Rfam family: Bacterial small subunit ribosomal RNA
Source: RNAcentral
UCCUACGGGGGGCUGCAGUGGGGAAUCUUGCACAAUGGGGGAAACCCUGAUGCAGCGACGCCGCGUGAGCGAUGAAGCCCUUCGGGGUGUAAAGCUCUUUCGACGGGAACGAUAAUGACGGUACCCGGAGAAGAAGCUGCGGCUAACUACGUGCCAGCAGCCGCGGUAAUACGUAGGCAGCAAGCGUUGUUCGGAGUUACUGGGCGUAAAGAGUGCGUAGGCGGUUUCGUAAGUUUGGUGUGAAAUCUCCCGGCUUAACUGGGAGGGUGCGCCGAAAACUGCGGGGCUGGAGUGUGGGAGAGGUAAGCGGAAUUCCUGGUGUAGCGGUGAAAUGCGUAGAUAUCAGGAGGAACACCGGCGGUGUAGACGGCUUACUGGACCAUGACUGACGCUGAGGCACGAAAGCGUGGGGAGCAAACAGGAUUAGAUACCCCAGUAGUC